UAGACGGUACUCGGUAGGAAGGGGUAAAAUCCUUUGAUCUAUUGAUGACCACCUGUGGCGAAGGCGGUCUACCAGAACACGUCCGACGGUGAGGGAUGAAAGCUGGGGGAGCAAACCGGAUUAGAUACCCGGGUAGUCCCAGCUGUAAACUAUGCAAACUCAGUGAUGCAUUGGCUUGUGGCCAAUGCAGUGCUGCAGGGAAGCCGUUAAGUUCGCCGCCUGGGAAGUACGUACGCAAGUAUGAAACUUAAAGGAAUUGGCGGGGGAGCACCACAAGGGGUGAAGCCUGCGGUUCAAUUGGAGUCGACGCCAGAAAUCUUACCCGGAGAGACAGCAGAAUGAAGGUCAAGCUGAAGACUUUACCAAACAAGCUAAAAGGUGGUGCAUGGCCGUCGCCAGCUCGUGCCGUGAGAUGUCCUGUUAAGUCAGGUAACGAGCGAGAUCCCUGCCUCUAGUUGCCACCAUUACUCUCAGGAGUAGUGGGGCGAAUUAGCGGGACCGCCGCAGUUAAUGCGGAGGAAGGAAGGGGCCACGGCAGGUCAGUAUGCCCCGAAACUCUGGGGCCACACGCGGGCUGCAAUGGUAACGACAAUGGGUUUCGAAUCCGAAAGGAUGAGGUAAUCCUCAAACGUUACCACAGUUAUGACUGAGGGCUGCAACUCGCCCUCACGAAUAUGGAAUCCCUAGUAACUGCGUGUCAUUAUCGCGCGGUGAAUACGUCCCUGCUCCUUGCACACACCGCCCGUCGUUUCAUUGAAGUGAGCUUUUAGCGAGGUGACGUCUGAUUGGCGUUAUCGAACUUGAGGUUCGUGACAAGGGAA
RNAcentral lists this ribosomal RNA (821 nucleotides) under uncultured archaeon. Its description in RNAcentral is "bacterial SSU rRNA". It matches the Rfam family "Archaeal small subunit ribosomal RNA", at positions 609 to 1429 of the family's 1478-position model. The record is from RNAcentral.